Molecule: transfer RNA, 74 nt
Filed under: Oreochromis niloticus (Nile tilapia)
Lineage: Eukaryota; Metazoa; Chordata; Actinopteri; Cichliformes; Cichlidae
Description: tRNA-Ile (AAT) (tRNA-Ile-AAT-7-1)
Rfam family: tRNA
About the family: Transfer RNA (tRNA) molecules are approximately 80 nucleotides in length. Their secondary structure includes four short double-helical elements and three loops (D, anti-codon, and T loops).
Source: Rfam by way of RNAcentral
GGCCGGUUAGCUCAGCUGGUUAGAGCGUGGUGCUAAUAAAGCCAAAGUCAUGGGUUCAAGCCCCAUACUGGCCA